GGCGGCAGACGGGUGAGUAACACGUUGGCAAUCUAUCUUUCCGACCGGGAUAACUAGCCGAAAGGUUAGCUAAUACCAGAUGCGAUCACCGAGCGGCAUCGUUUGGUGAUGAAAGCAGUAAUGCGCGGAUUGAGGAGCCUGCGGCCCAUUAGCUAGUUGGUGAGGUAACGGCCCACCAAGGCAACGAUGGGUAGCUGGUCUGAGAGGACGACCAGCCACACUGGGACUGAGACACGGCCCAGACUCCUACGGGAGGCAGCAGUGAGGAAUUUUCCGCAAUGGGCGAAAGCCUGACGGAGCGACGCCGCGUGCACGAGGAAGGUCUUCGGAUCGUAAAGUGCUGUCGAGGGGGACGAUUAUGACGGUACCCCUGGAGGAAGCCCCGGCUAACUACGUGCCAGCAGCCGCGGUAAGACGUAGGGGGCGAGCGUUGUUCGGAAUUACUGGGCGUAAAGCGUGCGUAGGCGGAUUCGUAAGUCGAGGUUGAAAUAUCCGGGCUCAACUCGGGGCACGGCCUCGA
RNAcentral lists this ribosomal RNA (520 nucleotides) under uncultured bacterium. RNAcentral's name for it is "bacterial SSU rRNA". It matches the Rfam family "Bacterial small subunit ribosomal RNA", at positions 94 to 630 of the family's 1533-position model. The record is from RNAcentral.